RNAcentral lists this unclassified non-coding RNA (387 nucleotides) under soil metagenome. RNAcentral's name for it is "partial contains 5.8S ribosomal RNA, internal transcribed spacer 2, and large subunit ribosomal RNA". The stretch from base 1 to 120 matches the Rfam family "5.8S ribosomal RNA", at positions 35 to 154 of the family's 154-position model. The record is from RNAcentral.
GAUGAAGAACGCAGCGAAAUGCGAUACGUAAUGUGAAUUGCAGAAUUCAGUGAAUCAUCGAAUCUUUGAACGCACCUUGCACCCUUUGGCAUUCCGAAGGGUAUGCUCGUUUGAGUGUCAUUGUACUCUCACACUCUCCGAUCCUAUGGAUUCGGGGAGCGGUGGACUUGGGUGUUGCUGCCUUUCCCUGUGGCUCACCUCAAAUGCGUCAGUGCACCUCUUGGUUGGACAUAGUACGGCGUGAUAAGUGUCUUCGCCGGCACCUCGCAAGAGGGUGGCCGAUCGGGAGCUCUGCGCUUUCAAACCGUCUUCGGACAAUUUCUGACAUCUUGACCUCAAAUCGAGUAGGACUACCCGCUGAACUUAAGCAUAUCAAUAAGCGGAGGA